UACUAAAAUUGGAACGAUACAGAGAAGAUUAGCAUGGCCCCUGCGCAAGGAUGACACGCAAAUUCGUGAAGCGUUCCUCAUUUUGACUUUUAACUGAAAGAAGUGAUACAGGGUUCAUGUGGUGUAAAUCCUCCCACUCUCACACUGUGUGACUUCAGUUACACGUAUACUAAAAUUGGAACGGUAAUUCAUGGCCCUGCCAGCAGAGGGCGCUGCUGCAGCGCUUAAGAUGCUGUUCAUCCACUUUCAACAUCUAUAAAUUUUCAUAAACUACACCACAUGAGCCCUGUAUCACUUCUUUACGUUAAAAGUCAAAAUGAGGAACGCUUCACGAAUUUGCGUGUCAUCCUUGCGCAGGGGCCAUGCUAAUCUUCUCUGUAUCGUUCCAAUUUUAGUAUACGUGUAACCGAAGUUACACAGUUUAAGAGUGGGAGGUGUCUGGUUUAUAUACGGGUCUGGACCUGGACCCCUGGGAGUCAUGGUGCGACCCUCAGACAGGCCUGUAUGAGAGCAAACUGCCUCUGAGUGGCUUCAUAUAGGCAGAGAGCAGAACAGCCUUCAGAGCUCAGGGAGGCUGUACUGGGGCUGCUGCAGCUUCAACAACUCAUAAGGACCCAAUCUGACCCAGUUCUGUCUCAGUUCUGAACAAUUAUGAGUUUUCUCUGAAUGCUGAUGGCUUGCAAGGCAUGCUGGGAUUUUUUUUAAUCUCCUCCCCACUCUGUCAGUUGGCUCCUCCCCUCUGGCUGUUAGGCUGAGAAGUAACCAGUGUUUGAACUACGACUGCAAAAGCUGGGCCUCCUGCUGUAUUCCACUGUUCACAGAUCAGCUGUUGCCCAGUUCGCUGAUGCGUAGAGAUACAGAGGUUCUACGGUGGAUUUGAGACCGGUUAGCUACUGUUGACUCUGUUUUGAUCCGUUAAUUCUCUGACUUCUUAGUCUUCGCGGUUCCACUGGUACUUUACUGGUGUGUGUGUGUGUGUGUGUGUGUGUGUGUGUGUGUGAGAGAGCGCAGGUGGGUAUGUGCUUCUUUUUCUUGCAUUUGUAAGUUGAAAGUAAAUAUAUUUUAUUUGAAGGCAAGUUUGUUUUACCCGGUUCAUCUGUUAAUGAUGGAACUCAUUGUAAUGAAAUGAUUUUUUCAGAAUUUAUUUUAUUUUGAAUUUUUUUUUGGUAAUGCGUUGUGAAGGUCUUAAAUUUGUAAUUUUUAUGGUCUUAAAAUGUCUUAGAAAUGUCUAAAAUUUGACUUAUUGAAACCUGCAAGAACGCAAGAAUAUUCCACAAGGACUUUAUUAUUAAAGUGCAUUUUACAAAACCGCAGCAAUAAACACAAUAAAAAGCACACAGUGACCACAUGUACGGGUAAAGAUGCGCUCUACGUACGCGUGCUCUGCAGUGUCUCCCCCUCUCUGCACACCUGAAGGUAACUGGUGCUCUGGUGGAGUCGGGGGAGGUGAUAAAAUGGCAGAGAUAGCAGGAGGAGAACGAUCACACACCUCUGAGGAGGGUUCUCUCCUCACCUUUUAGGCUUUCCUUCAGGUAGUUUCGGGGCUCACUGCUCGGCUGGUCCAACAUCUUCCAUGGAUCUCCAGCCCUGUUCUGUUUGUUCUUGUGGUUUUCAUUUGACAAUCAUAGAAUAAAGCUUGCUUAUUUCUUGACACUGUGUAGCUUCUUUACUGCUGGCUUGGACUCAUUGGGCCACAUGACAUGGAAGCUAUUGACAAAAAAAAUCAUAAUUUCUGCAUGUUAAUAUUCAUAUAAAACAGAGAGCCCUAAAAUACAAUAUAAAGAGCUGUGUCUUAUUCAUCCAGUUUACUAAUACCAUCUGCUGCUGGUUGGGAGACGGACACACAUUGCUUUACAUGGCACAUGAAUACUUGUUCCUCUCUGGAAAUCCCUCCUUAAACACAUCAGAGACUCUACACACCUCACAACCUUCCCAACACUCACCAAACUCAGUUUAAAACUGCUUUCAUAAUUUAUGACUCCUCUUUGUGUUUUUAGUUUGUUUUUAUUAUUCAAUAUUCAAGACAUGAUGAUGAUGUGCACAGUAAAAAAUAAUAAUAAUAAUCAUGUACACAUGCGAGCUGCAGGAAUAAAUGCAGCACAAUUGUUUUGAGUAAGUUUUUUUUAGGGUUUUUUUCAGUUUAUAGGUACUUUACAUACAGAAUCAUAAAAAGUCCUGAGUUCAACAUAAAACAAAGUUUCAUUUGGAAUAAAUUGAAGAAACCUGGCUUUAUGAAUUGUUAGGCCCCUGGUCUAGUGGAAUCACAGACAUUACAUGAUGUGCUUCUCCUCUUUCUUCCCACUCCCCAGAAGGCCAGUGUCACAGGAAGUUAGCGGUAGCAUUCGUUCAGAGGGAGAGAAGGUCAGAACAACAAACAAACAACAAGCAAAAGCAUCUCCCUUCCUUCCCUGUACAAAUCAAAAUUAUU
Long non-coding RNA from Acanthopagrus latus (yellowfin seabream), 2428 nucleotides. RefSeq lists it as uncharacterized. Lineage: Eukaryota; Metazoa; Chordata; Actinopteri; Spariformes; Sparidae. The transcript has 2 exons. The record is from RefSeq and is a predicted model, not a curated record.